RNAcentral lists this ribosomal RNA (214 nucleotides) under uncultured bacterium. RNAcentral's name for it is "partial 16S ribosomal RNA". It matches the Rfam family "Bacterial small subunit ribosomal RNA", at positions 120 to 334 of the family's 1533-position model. The record is from RNAcentral.
UGCAACCUACCCGAUACUGGAGGAUAGCCCGAAGAAAUUCGGAUUAACACUCCAUAGUAUAGUGAAGAGGCAUCUCUUUAUUAUUAAAACUACGGUGGUAUCGGAUGGGCAUGCGUUGCAUUAGCUAGUUGGUGAGGUAAUGGCUCACCAAGGCUACGAUGCAUAGGGGAUCUGAGAGGAUUAUCCCCCACACUGGUACUGAGACACGGACCAG